Long non-coding RNA from Ostrea edulis (European flat oyster), 7305 nucleotides. RefSeq lists it as uncharacterized. The transcript has 3 exons. Lineage: Eukaryota; Metazoa; Mollusca; Bivalvia; Ostreida; Ostreidae. The record is from RefSeq and is a predicted model, not a curated record.
CUCUGGUUAGAUAGUUAACUGCGACAAUAUAUUUUCAUCUAUUUCAUUCGUAAAAUAAUUCCAAUUUGUAUUUCAAAAUGUGAUAAAUUAAUUACUUUAAAGUAAAACUAAACUUUCAGUAAACGAUGUAUACAGUUAUAAAGCUUUUCAUAUCAUUCAGCAUGAUAGACAGAAUAUCAAGAAGUUCACUUUUUUAAUUCCGUGAAUGGGCAGAAAUAUCCAUAUAGAAUGUGGGUAUGGUUGAUUCUACACAAUGUGUGCUGUAAAAGUCUAAAUGAAUAUUGAUUAAUCAGAUAUUAUGGAAAGUUAUUUCAUCGUAGAUAAUUUAAAAGGCAAUACAAUUAUUUAAUCUUUCUAUUUAGGAAAGGAAAACUCAAACGACAUUUUAUUCACUACAUGUACCUAUUUUCUAAUUUCUAUUGUGACACACGAGGUACACGUAAUCUAUGUCAACCAGCUGACUCUUGCUUCGAAAGAACUUUGUCGUGGCAAUUUUCAAGCUUUUUUAGAACAUAAUUUUCUUGCAAACACACAACAAAACAUUUGUUUCAUUUUUUCUUCAAGAUUUGAUUUAAUUUUCAACUGAGAGUUCGGAAAAUUUGAACUGCAUGACUGGUUGUUUUCACAUUAAAAUAAAAUGAAUUUAUUGUCGAGCUCGGAAACACAUUUUUUGGUUUUACCAUUAAAGUGGACAAUGAAUGCAGCCACUCUAACAUUGAAUGUGGCAAUGCUCAAUAUGUUCGGUUCCCUUCGAUUUGACGCUUAUACAAAUCAGUUGACUCUACUAUCCUCUCCGAUUGUUUGAUUUCCCGAUUGUGGACAUGUGCAAGUAUGUAUAUGUUUCUUUGGAUGUAAAAAGUUCACUCAACUGCUAUAUAGAAUACGCAGAAACCGCCACGUUAAAGAGAUCGACCUUUUCCAAGGCCCACGUUAAAGCUUGAACCUGCUAUAUGAGCUGAAUUGCUGUAGGGGUGAAAAGUUCUCUAGGGUGCUACCGGCCUUUUAGCGCGAUAGGUUGUAGCAGUGUGUAUUCUUUAACGUGCCAACGCCUAUCGUGACACAAGGCCCCCGCUUUCAAGGUCAUAUCUGAAAUACCCAUGAUUCUCACUUCAAAAUGCCGAACACAUUGUAAGUUUUGUUAACAUCUUAGCCGCCAUAACACGAGUGGGGCUUGGACUUACGACCUCCCGGUUACGAAGUGAACGCUCUACCACUGGGCUACUGCGACCGGUUAAUUGUAAUGAAUAAAUGAUAAUAAUAAUAAUGAUAUACAAUAAUGCUUUAUUUAGAGAAGGUAGCCCGAUAAGGACAUGGUACUAUCAUUCCCCUGGGCCUUCUGAAAUACAAACAAUAUACUCAUAAUGAUACGUACAAUCAAAGAUAAAAAUAAAAUGAUAGGUUCCGUGAUCAUAUACAAUUUACAACAAAGUGGUAUUUAAAACAAUUAUGGGGGUCAAUAUUCAUGGUGUGGAAGAGGUACAUGUAGUAAAAGAGGGAAAAGGGGCGGGUAUGCAAAGAUAUACAUAUAUAUUCACAUACAUACACAUGUAUAUAUUAUUAUAUAAGAACAUGUUUAAAAUUAACGACGGCUAAUUAUGAAUUUUUCAACAUUUCUUCUAAAAACGUCUCUACGAAGGUGAUAAUUUUUAAAAUUAGAUAUGUUAAAAAAUAAGUAAACAACAACAAGUGAAAAGAAAUCAUCAACAACAACGCAAUGACCUGUGUGAAAAGGUAGUUGUUCAAAUGUAUAUCAUCGAAAUGAAUAUUGGAAACUGUACUUAUUUAAAAUGGCCGAGUGACAACUAUUGAUUUAGAAUCAAAUAAUUUUGGUUAAAACAUGUGAAAUAAUGUACGCCAUGUCGCACAGCCUCAUAAGUAUGUACCUGCAAUGAUAUGUUUAUCGUUUUACAACGUCGAAAAAUUUUGUUGAGAUUCGGACCAUAUAUCUUUAAGUAUCGCGAAAGAGGAAUUGUCGUCUGUAAAGCUGAUAUUAGUAUGUGAAUGGGGGAUUUGAUUACGGGUGCCACUUGUGUUAUUUCAUAAAAUUUGUAUUGCACAAUGUCCAUUUUACAGCAAGAAUUGCCACAAAUAUACAUUUUCUAUCAAAAAAGUUCUAGUUUUGAGUCCCUAGUCAGCUAAGUGUAAGCUACCAUCAAUUGUCGUUAGACCAGUGACAUUGUAGAUAAAAUACAAAUGGAAUACGACCAUAGUAGCAAAACUUUAAUUCUAUGCUCCUCGAAAAAUUUCGGAGGAGCAUACAUGUAUAUAGUUGUUGUAUUUCUCUGUCCUUUCAAGCUCAUAUAUUCUAAAUCUCUUUCAUCAGAAUAUUGAUCACAAAUAUUCAUUGAGACAAGGACAUCUGGACCAUUAUCACAAGGUCAUUUUAGAAACGUCAAGGUCACUCAGGACAUAUAAAAGGUCCUUAUUUCGAAUUUUUUAAACAGGUAUUGAUCAUAAGUAAUAGGCCAAUGACUUUCAGACAAAGGUCACUCAAGAUCUUUGUAAAGGUGAGGAUCACUCAGAACAUAUAAUUACUUUAUAUAUGAAAGAAACUUAAUUUCAACAAAAUUCCAACAGUUAGUAAUAAGUGUGCGAAUGACUAUCGGACAAAGGUUACUAAGGGUCAUUUUGUAAAGAUCAAGGUCCCUCAGGGCAUAUACCUUAUAUGAAAAAAAACCCCUAUUUCAAUGAUAUUUCAGCAGUUAUUGAUCAUUUGGACAAAGGUCACUUAAGGACAUUUCAUAAAUGUCAAGGCCACUAAGAAUAUAUACCUUAUAUGCGGGAACAAAUCAUCAAUAAUAUUUUAAGAGUUAUUGGUCAUCGUGCGAAUUUUCGGAAAAAGGUCAUUCCUAAAAGUCAAAAUCACUUAAAAGAUAUAACUUACUUCAUCUUCUUACCCGUGUCAAACUUACGACGUAAACAUUAGGUAUUAAUUGCUCUUGCAAAACACUCUCACCAUUUAGAAGUGAGAAUCAAGGGUCUUUUUCAAAUUACCUUAAAGAUAGACGUCCAGUGUCGUGACAGACACUGAUACGUCACAUUAAAGAACCAUCACUGCUACGGCCCUGAGCACUGAACAAAGGUCAAAAUUUGUGGUCACCUACAACUGGUGACGUCUCAAUAUGAGUAAAACAUCCUCGAUGGGUCGAAGAACAAUCUGCACUUAAUCGAUAUGCGAGAGCAUAUUCUAUGUACAGGGUUUGAUUUUUUUUAAUCGAGGCAGGCUAACAAAUAAGUUGAAUUUACAGGGGUUUAAAUUGUAAGUUUCGUUUACAGUCAGCAUUUCGCAAAUUCUAUGGUCGGUAGGGAUUCUUUUCUUGACGUCAUACUUGUUAUACUGGUCUCCCCUAAUGAGUAGCCGAUGUAGAGGCAAAUUUUGACUCCCAUAGAAUAAUGACCGGGGUCAUUUUUCGACGUCGAAAAAAUGACCCCCUAGCCGUAGAAAAAUUGGAUAAUUUUGUAGAAAGAAGACCCAGGGGUCAUUAUUUUGCGUGUCAUACCUGAAAAAUAAUGACCACCGUAGAAAAAUGACCCCCUCCUCCCUUUCUUAGCAGAUUGUUUAUUUUAAAGGAGUUGAUACGGGUUUUCAGGUCAUUAUUUACCCAGAGUUAUCGUUCCUGCUGCUCCUCUUAUCAAAUUUAUUCCAUGUGUAAUUUUUUUUUUCACGGUUAAUAUAAUAAAAGUAAGAACUAGUUCAUUAAAUUUGAGGAAAACCCACUGUAGGUUCCAUGACCAAUUGCAACUGGAAAAACCCCGCAUAUUUCAGGGACGGGCCCAGGGAAUUUUCAAAAAGGGGUUCUACCAUAAAUUUUAGUUUUCAAAAGGGGAGUUCCAUUCUCAAAAUGUGUUAUUUUAACCUCAUUAAGCAACAUUUUGUAACGAUAGGCAGAGGUACAUGUACAACCUAUAAAACCUCCACACUUCCCUUUGAAUUUACCAAUGUAUUUAUGCUAUCUAUUUACUUGUAUACAUCGUGUGUAAUCAAACACACACAUAAAAAAGAGCUGCGUUUAAAUUCAAUACUUCUUGUGUCAAAGAGAGGCGUGAAAUCUUCUUAAAACUGAUGAAUUCACAUACAUUUUUUGCAACUGAAGUCAAUAGCUUAUUUCAUUUAUGCAUCAUUAUCGUUUUUCAAGAAUUUUGAAAAAUGAGUAAGUGUUGAUAGAGGUAUUAGUGAGUAUGCGAACGAUAACUUUGGGUAGACUAUACAUUUCACUGGAUAAUUUAUGCCUAUCAGGGGUGUAGGACAAGGGGACGGGGACACGUGCCGCCUCAGUUUUGGAAGAUGGGGGAGGGGGGCACCAAGUGGGUUUGUUCCCCCUCACUUUUUUAAUACAAAAUUAACAUAGAUUGGUCAGAUGAGAAUAUACCACGGUUAAAAAAAUACUCAAUUCUAAUAUGCAAGUUCUCAGCACUCAAAACAUUAUUUCUUGCAAUUACAUAACCUAUUCUCUCCGUACUACAUUUUGUUUUGACCGAUUACGUUUUAAACCGUCAUAAAAUUGUUAGUUACAAGAAAAAUGUUCUCACGGUGAAAAUAGUUAUAUCUCAUUUAUAUUAGAAGGGAGUCCCCCCAUUGCAAUGUUCAAAAGUGCAGUAUGUCGUACACAGUACAGGGGAGUAGGGGAAGAUACAGCCGGGGCACAUGUCCCCACGCUUUUCAAAGGGGGAAGAAGUAUGGUUGUGUUCCCCUUAAGGUUGAUCGAUCCUCAUGUGACGUCAUAGGUUUUUGCAAAAAUCUUAAUAAAUUAAACUUUGCGCAUGAUAGAAAUAUAUCUUUCUGAGUAAUAUUAUUCACUGGAUAUAAUAAAAAAUCUGGUAAACUAUUAAUACUGAAAAAGUUUAUAUUUUCCAUAGAUAAUCAAUUAUUCAUGAUUUUAAAAAUGUUGUCAAGGGCAAUAACUCCUGAGCUGGAAUUUCCUCAACUGGAUGUAUAUUAUACAUUGGUUUCCCUAAUAUCCAUGAUUAAUCUAUACAUAUUUAUGAAUUAGCAGUUUUUUUAAAACUGUUGAUUUUUAAAUUUUGUCAUUUCAACAAGUUUUUAUCUAUUUCUAUUAUUCUGUUUAACGAAAAUGUGUGAUUUUCUGAUGUUGAUAUAUACUUCUGUUUUUGUAUGUCCGACAUCUUUAAAAAGGUGGCAACAUAUACAUUUUCUUUGGUUAUUAAUUAAAUUAAACUAUACUGAAUGGAAAUUAAUAAAGUUUUUCCACUGUUAACCAUUCAAAUUGAUAAGUCACAUGAGGAUGGAGCUACCUUAAGUAAGGCUUCUUUACAAUCUGAUUAGAAUAAGAUCCCCGAUUCGCUCCUUUGUAUUCAUAUUGUCUCUACAACAUAAAAACAAAGGAGCAGAUUCUAUAACUCUCAGAAGUCAUAGGUAAUAUACCUUAAGCAGUGGAAUGCUUACACAUGAAAAUUUGCAAAGUGUUUUAGGUCUGUUAAUUACAACAUUUAGUUUCGAUUUGCAGUUUUUUCCAAAUCUGACUUUGUUAAGAAUUUCUUAAGUCAAUAAUAAAGAACAAAAGUGAAAAAAGAAGUAAAUUUUGAUAUUUCAUGAGGAAUGCUCCCGGAAUUAUUCAUUUCGUUGGUUUCAUUUGAAAAUACACCUGUUGUUGAUACAUAGUUAUAUGUACGUAUUCCUCUGUCUGCUCCUCUAUAUUUCAAAUUUCCUUUUAAUUAGUGAAUUGCACCCAAACUCUUGGAUUUUUUACAAAUAACGUCAUCGACAAACGAGUACUCCCCUGCUCAUAGACAAAUAUAAGGUUGAACGUGAUAGAGGCCUUUGAGGAAAUUACAAAACUAUAUACUUAAGUUAUAUAACAAAUAUGUAGACGGAUUUCUUCAUGGAAUUAUAUUCAAAAUGAGAUUUUAAAAUGUUCCCUUCAAUAUUAUAUUUAUCAUAACCGACCCAUACAAUGAUCCACGAAGCAAAUAUAUCAAAUCAAUAAAUGUUUUAUCGUUGAGUAUGACAUUAUGGAGUGCGAUUGCUCUGCAGAAAAAACUCCCUAUCAUGCGUGUUAAGUGCAUCGUAGAAUAUACCAUCAGAGCGAUAGGCACGUUUCGAGUUCAUCCGGAACACCCGGGAUUUUCACAUUUAGCCACGCCAAUCACGUGACAUGAACAAAAUGUUCAGCAGGGGUACUUCCGGUUGAUAUUGUUUACUCUGGUAACAAAAUUGUCUUUAACAAAAUAUGCAUUUUGUGGCACGAAAGGUCUCAAUUCAGAUAAUGGAGAGAAAGGGGUGUAUAUCUACUUUGGAUGAUGUUAAAGUUCACCCUUUCCCAACCCUGGAAAAAAAAUGUUCACGCAGAGGAAACGAUGGCGUCAUUUGUUUAGAAAACCACGAGUAGCAGAACAGUGCAGAAAAUUAGAGCGAUUACUACAUACCAUAAAAGCUGAUCCAACACAGAAGCAUCCCUGUUCUAGCCAUUUCACCAUAUGAAAGGCGAAGAUAACAAACAGUGAUCCAAGUUUUAAGAAAACCAAGAGGUUGAUAACAAUGACUGUACUCCGUAUGUUGACUGGAAUUAUUGACUGGUAUGCAGUAAAACAGCUGAAGGAAAGUUCAACUAUUAAUUCAUUUCAGCCUGAUAGUCUGGCAGUAUUAUAGGUAAUCUGGCAGUAAUGGCAUGACAUCAUGAGAGCUAAUCAACAUGGUUAAUGAUGUAUAGAGACACUGUCUGAAGACCUCGAGGGAAAGGCAAAGAAAAUGGAUGAUCUACUUCUUAUAUUCCCGUAAAAAAGAGGAAGGAUACCACAACAUUGACGAUAAAUUAUUGUCAAUUCAAGAAGCAAAGUUGUGAAAAUGCAAAAAUGAUAAUUAAUGUAUUUGUUAGAAAAAUAUUGUUAACUGCAUAUAUAUUUCUUGAACUUAUUCAGGAAUACAUCAAAUGUAGUCAUUCAUAUUAAAACUGAAUCUAUGAAUUUUCAUAACUUUUAUCAAUAAAGUUUACUAUAUUUAUUUUACAUGUAUCUAAUUUCCCUAAUACAUUGUACUCGUGGGGGUUUGCUUGCAUUCAUUGUUUUGACAUGAAUCCGAAAAUGUGCAUAUAUCAUCACAAGAGCCCACCUGGGCACUAAGCAUGUGUCAUGUAUAAAGCAGACUCAAACAAGAUCUACCAAUAUAAUAUUUGAAUGAACACAAAUGGUCUUAGAUACUCUUUUUUUCUCUCUGCAAUAUAUGGCAUUAAACAGCAUUAAUUUUUUUUUCAAUUUUAAAUAUAUACAAGUCAAUUAACUUUUCCCAAACUUUUGAUGCAUAUAAUGGAUUUUCUCUGAACUGCUACAUCUUUGUGCACAGAAUGGAAA